This 82-nucleotide non-coding RNA is filed under the name uncultured Blautia sp. Its description in RNAcentral is "Glycine riboswitch". It matches the Rfam family "Glycine riboswitch aptamer", at positions 9 to 86 of the family's 94-position model. Rfam says of the family: This family represents the bacterial glycine riboswitch. Glycine riboswitches usually consist of two metabolite-binding aptamers domains with similar structures in tandem. The aptamers cooperatively bind glycine to regulate the expression of downstream genes. The record is from RNAcentral. Lineage: Bacteria; Bacillati; Bacillota; Clostridia; Lachnospirales; Lachnospiraceae.
GCUUCCGGGAGAGCUCCGGCAGCAUUGGCUGUACGGACGCCGAAGGGGCAGGUGGAGAAACUCUCAGGCAAAAGAACCGGAU